RNAcentral lists this long non-coding RNA (770 nucleotides) under Helianthus annuus (common sunflower). Lineage: Eukaryota; Viridiplantae; Streptophyta; Magnoliopsida; Asterales; Asteraceae. The record is from RNAcentral.
UGUGGUGGUGGAUCGGGACGGCGCGACGACAUGAACAAGGGCGGGGAACGACGACAGUUUCUUCCGGCGACAGUGAGUUCUUUCCGACAAGAUUUUUGUCUCGAUCUUCACCUAAUACUCACGCACACAACUGCUCUCUCUUUCUUCCUCAUUACUUGUUCUGCCAAACCCUAACAUACAAACAAAUAAGAUCACUGCUUUCCUUUCAUCUCCAUCUUUCCAUCACAAACACCAUACAUCCACACUCUCUUUCUCUCUCAUGCGAGUCCGGCGAUCGGACUUACCGACGGAGCCGGUGACUUGGCAGCGGAGCACGGCGGUUCUAGCGGUGGAGAUAAGCGGAACUGAAGGUGGUUGGCGCCGUUUUCCAGCCACCAACACCCGAUUGCCCCUUGCAUCCUCCCAUUACUCUCUCUCUUGCUGGUAAACACACGCGGUUGGAGCAUGGCUGAGGUGGUGGAUCGGGACGGCGCGACGACAUGAACAAGGGCGGGGAACGACGACAGUUUCUUCCGGCGACAGUGAGUUCUUUCCGACAAGAUUUUUGUCUCGGCUGAUUACGGGAUAGUAUUGAUGAUGAUGACUACCGGUGACAGAGACGGUGAUGCCGGAAGUGGUGGUGUUUAUGUUCAGUUCGUUUCGAGUUCGGUUCAAGUCUCGAUCAAACCAGAUCAACACUAGUCAAAGGGCCACUCGGUCAGAAUUAUGUUUGGGUUUUUUUUUUUUUUGGUUCGGGCUUGUUUUGGUGUGGUUCAGCUCGGUUUGACUCG